This is a long non-coding RNA of Culex quinquefasciatus (southern house mosquito), 728 nucleotides long. RefSeq lists it as uncharacterized. The transcript is spliced from 2 exons. NCBI's taxonomy places the organism in Eukaryota, Metazoa, Arthropoda, Insecta, Diptera, Culicidae. The record is from RefSeq and is a predicted model, not a curated record.
GAUUGAGUCAAAACAAAAAAAAAAGUUUGUUUUGGUAAUCAGUGAAAAUUUAAUUUUGUGCUUAUUGGCUGAUGUUUGUUGUGAUUUUUUUGAUUGUUUUGGUGCAGGAUCUAUUUCGGAAGAUAUCCGCAAAAGGAUCCGGCAGCAAGUUUGUACUGAUUUGACGUUUGCUGCGGGAAGUCGAAACAUUUGGUUACUACUCGUAAAAGACGAUUCAGUUGAUUCCAGAAACCCGCCGUCGACAGAAUUUCGAUCAGUUUCUGCCUUCUGGAACUUUUUCAACAAAUGAAGCAGGAUUUUAGCCGGUAGCGGACCAUCCAGCAAAUUCAGAAAUCUUAAUUCACAACAUUACAACUUGCGGGGUUUCUUGCUUUGAUCUGCUGGAGCUGCUCUCACAAAAGGAGGACACAUUUAAAACACUGGCCAGGACCUGGUGAAAGUUACCUUACUCGUUGUGUCCGCUGCAGCCUAUCAACCGGGACUCGUCGAGCAUCAGCUGGCAGAUUGAGACUGAUUCCCUCCGACGAGCUGAUCCGGCGCACUCCGAGAGCAUCUUGGUGAACAUCCGCACGGGGAAUAGUUUUAAAAAGCAUCUCGCGAUGGUAAGGAUUGUUUCGGUUCUGCACAUCUGAAUCCAUUACGAAUUUUCGCAAUUAUUUACCGGGAGUGAAGCUGUAAAGUAAUAUAUUUUCACAAUAACAAUAAAAUUCCAAAAAUACAGCGGAAAA